UACGGAGGGUGCAAGCGUUGUCCGGAAUCACUGGGCGUAAAGGGCGCGUAGGCGGCUCAUGAAGGCUGUGGUGAAAGUCCGGGGCUCAACCUCGGAUCGGCCGUGGCGACUCGUGGGCUGGAGCACUGUAGAGGCGGGUGGAAUUCCGGGUGUAGCGGUGGAAUGCGUAGAGAUCCGGAAGAACACCAGUGGCGAAGGCGCCCGCUGGGCAGUGGCUGACGCUGAGGCGCGACAGCGUGGGGGAGCAAACAGG
RNAcentral lists this ribosomal RNA (253 nucleotides) under uncultured bacterium. RNAcentral describes it as "partial 16S ribosomal RNA". It matches the Rfam family "Bacterial small subunit ribosomal RNA", at positions 524 to 776 of the family's 1533-position model. The record is from RNAcentral.